Molecule: unclassified non-coding RNA, 334 nt
Filed under: soil metagenome
Description: partial contains 5.8S ribosomal RNA, internal transcribed spacer 2, and large subunit ribosomal RNA
Rfam family: 5.8S ribosomal RNA (bases 1-120)
Source: RNAcentral
GAUGAAGAAUGUAGCGAAAUGCGAUAAGUAAUGUGAAUUGCAGAAUUCAGUGAAUCAUCGAAUCUUUGAACGCACAUUGCGCCCGCCAGUAUUCUGGCGAGCAUGCCUGUUCGAGCGUCAUUUCAACCAUCAAGCCCCAGGCUUGUGUUGGAGCCCUGCGGCUGCCGCAGCCUCCCAAAACCAGUGGCGGGCUCGCUAUCACACCGAGUGCAGUAGUUUACUCUUCGCUCAGGGCGUGUGGCGGGUGCUAGCCGUGAAACCCCCAACUUCUCAAGGUUGACCUCGGAUCAGGUAGGAAUACCCGCUGAACUUAAGCAUAUCAAUAAGCGGAGGA